Long non-coding RNA from Myiozetetes cayanensis, 15155 nucleotides. RefSeq lists it as uncharacterized. The transcript has 2 exons. The record is from RefSeq and is a predicted model, not a curated record. Lineage: Eukaryota; Metazoa; Chordata; Aves; Passeriformes; Tyrannidae.
GUGGGGUUGAAGCAAAACUGUAUGCACUGGGCAGCACAGGAGUAGGGGGAGGGGGACCACUCUCAGGAAACAGAGGUUGCCGCAGGGAUGGCUGUGAGUCGGUGGGGCAUUUGGGAUUUUUUUUGUCCGCAGACCAGACAGAAUAGGAGCCCAGUUUUGGCUGCCUCUUUUUCUUUUUCCUGAGAGGAAGGGGUUUUCCCACAUGGGACACCUCACGAAGAACGACUGAGAGAGAGAGACUGACCCAUCUCAGAGCAAGGUAUUCUGCUUUCAAGACUGCCUGUGGGAAAAAGGACUUUUUCAUUGCUGGCUGUGAGCACACGACUGCAAGCAGCUUUUGAACUGCCAGGACAGUCCUGCCUUUCCCCCAUCCCCUCCCUGGGUUGCUAAGGGUUUCUUCCCCCCACCUGGGGAACUGGGACUUUGUUUUGUUUCUUCUGAAAGUUUUUGAUUGCACCAUUUGUUGUUUAUUCAUAUUUUGUUAAUAAAAAGCUGUUUCUUUUCCUUUUCCACACUUUCACCUGAAGUUUCUUAAUUUCUAAGUUGUAAUCUUGUUAAACUAAGAAAGAAAGAAAGAAAGAAAGAAAGAAAGAAAGGAAGAAAGAAAGAAAGAAAGAAUGCUAAAGAGAUCACCAGUCCUGGCUCCAGUGUCAAUCCAGAUGGGGUGUCCAAUGUCCAGUGGGUGCCUGUGCAUGACAGGUUACAUUGGGGUUGCCUUUUUAUAGUUUUAAGUCUUCUCCACCAUGGAGAUAAGUUUGCCUCUUUCUAUUCAAAUUAGUUCCCAGGAUGCUUCACUUCAGGGACCUACCUUUCCAUCAGGUCCCAAGAAGCUGGGGACAGUCUUUCAACUCAGACGGGAGGGCAGGGGUUGGGUGAAAGCAAACUGUGGCCGGCACUCUACUGCCAAAGGAAUGAAGAAAAAUGCAUUUGCUAUGUCAAUGGGGGCAUACCACUUCUCUGCCUUAGACUCCAGUUCAUAUUGAAGUUCCAGCAUGUCUGGCACAGUGGCACUCAGCGAUGGGGUAACUUCAUUCAAGCCACAAUAGUCCACUGCCAAUCUCCAUUCUCCAGUGGACUUACACACUGGCCAAAUGGGGUUGUUGAAGAUUGAGAGAGUCUUCUGACCACUCCUUGGUUCUCCAGUUAGCUAAUCAUCUUAUGGAUGGGGAUCACAAAGUCUUGGUUCAUGUGGUAUUGUCAAUGGUGCACUGUUGUGGUGGCGAUAGUCACCUGCUGUUCUUCAACUCUUAGCAGUCCCACAUCAGAAGGGUUGUCUGAUAGGCCAGGAAAUGCAUUCAACUGUUUAAUCUCCUCUGUCUGUACAGCAGUUAUCCCCAAAGCCUACUGAUGUCCUUUUCAGUCUUAGAAAUACCCAUUCUUUAGGUAAUCGAUACCCAGGAUAUAUGGGGCCCCUGGACCAGUCACAAAGGAGUGUUUCUGCCACUCCUUCCCUGUCAAGUUCACUUCAGCUUCCAACACCAUCAGGUCUUGAAAACCCCCUGUCACCCCAGAAAUGGAAAUAGACUCCGCCACCACAUAUCCUAAUGGCAUUAGCAUGCAUUGUGCACCAGUGUCACCCCAAGUCUUGUGUUCUUGUGGGUCUGAUGUGCCAGGUCAUCAGAUCCACACAGUCCAAUAGACACAGUUAUCCCAUGUCUCUACCUGACUAGAGGCAGAGCACCUCCAGUGCUGGUUUUUGUAGUUGUGACUUUCUUCCUGUGCAUACAUCUGUGAGGUCCCUUCUGGAGGGUCAGAUAUGUCAUUGUCCCUCCUACCCUGUCUAGGAACUUGCCCAUGGGGAACCACAGUUUGUCUCAUGUGGUGCACUCCCUCUCCCUAGUCGGGGGAUACUGUUUUCAAAUAUCAGGGGCUCUAGUUUACACUGGUGAGACAUGGACAGUGCUCUUUCUAAACUCCUCUCUGAGUUUUUUGUGGUCACUUUUUACUUCCUCAGUUAGAGUCCAGAGGUCCUCAACCAAUUUCUCUACAGAAGAGAUUCAGGUCCCUAAGAGGGUGUGGACAAUAGAAUCAUAGAAUCAUAGAAUAGAUUGGGUUGGAAAAGACCUCCAAGAUCAUCAAGUCCAACCCCUGAUCCAACUCUAAUUACUAUAUCAUGGCACUAAGGGCCAUGUCCAAUCUCUUUUUAAAAACUUCUCAUGAUAUGGUCCGAGUUUAUUCAUCAUAAUGCCCACUGUCUCUUGGUUUUCCUUCCAGUGCAUUGUCACCAGGAAAUUAGAGUAUACAGGUGGCCCUGAGUGUGCAAGUUUCCACCACAUCUGUGAUGUACACUUGACCUUAUCAGGGUGUCUACUGAAUUGCCUGUCCCUUGCAAAAAGUACCUCUAAAAAUGUCAGUUCUCUCAGACAUAGGAUCCCUUCCUCCAUGGUCUUUCAGGAGCAAUGAUGCCCCUGCAGGUCAUCUCUGUAAAGCAAACCUCUCUUACACUUGUUAAAAGCCGAAUCCAGAGAUUCUCUCAUGAACCCCUGAUCAAUACACACAUCUUCGGACAGGGAUCCCUUGCUUUAGUAUCAUCAAGUUGCACGCUUUCUCCUGUAAGAUCCCAGGCUCAGAUCAACCAGGUCAAAUUGACCUCACUUGGUCAUCGAGCCAUGUCUUUCUGCAAAUUGUGGAGAUUAUCAAAUGAAAGAGAUUCAGUGAUUAUUUCUGGCUCUGGGUCUACUGUUUGUGAGGGUCCCAUGUCCCCAUUGUCAUCCACCAGUUAAAGUGAUUUGGUCCUAUAUUUUUUCCUUUGGAUAGGGGCAACUUCUAUUGGUUGGGGUUACCCUUCUGGCUUAUCUACACCCUGAGUGGCUGUGGUAACAGGUAUUUUGUUCUUUCCUUUCCUCCUGGACAAGUUGCACCAUACUGAGCAGCUUUUGGUAGGCAGUGGCCAAAGUCCUGCAUGCAACCACAAGCUACUCCUCCAUAGAUCUACCAUGGCACCUUUCCCUCACAGAUCUCAUCACUUUUAACAGGGUCCUGAAGUUGUUCAAGGGUGAACUUCUAGGUCAUUAGAGAAGAAAAGAUCUCCAAGAACCCAUGUCCUUCCACAACCCAUACCACUCAAAGCUAUCUACCCCUGGGGUGGGCUUCUGGACACAUUCCUGAGAGAUCUUGGUCCUAGCUUCAUACGUGAGAUAGACCAUAAUGAUGCAAAUUUGCAGACAUACCACAGAGUAAGGUAUCUCUAGCAUCUAGAGGGAAUUUAAACUUCAAAAGCUGUUGUAGCAGACCUGAAGAGAAAAUGGGUGAAGGAAAUGGGGAAGGUCAACAAGGUUGACAUCCUAAUGGGAGUCUGUUAUCGACCACCCAACCAGGAUGGGGAAGGGGAUGAAUUAUUCUACAAGCAGCUGGUAGAUGUCUCAAAAUCACCAGCCCUUGUUCUUGUGGGCAACUUCAACCUGCCAGAUAUCUGUUGGGAGUUUAACAUGGCAGAGAAGAGGCAGUCUAGGAGAUUCCUGGAGUGUAUAGAGGAUAAUUUCCUGCUCCAGCUGGUAAAUGAACCUACCAGGGGUGGGGCCCCACUAGACCUGUUGUUUACAAACAGAGAGGGGUUGGUGGGAGAUGUGGUGGUAGGAGGCCACCAGGGGCACAGUGACCAUGAAAUAAUAGAGUUUGCAAUACUCAGGGAUACAAGGAAGGCCAUCAAUAAAACCUCUACACUGGACUUCAGGAGGGCAGAUUUUGGUCUGUUCAGAAGACUGGUCCAGAGCAUAUCCUGGGAAAAAACCCUUGAAAACAAGGGGGUACAGAAGGGAUGGACGUGCUUCAAGAAGGAAGUCUUGAGUGCACAGGAACAGGCUGUACCAGUGUGCCAAAAGGCAAGCUGACGAGGUAGACGACCAGCUUGGUUGAACAGGGAGAUUCUGAAGGAAAUCAGGGAUAAAAAGAGAGCUUACAGACUAUGGAAAAUAGGGCUGGCUACUCAGGAUGAGUUUAGGAGUAUAAAUAGGUCAUGUAGAAAGAAAAUUAGAGAGACAAAAGCACAAUUUGAAGUCAAUUUGGCUACUUCUGUUAAGGAUAACAAAAAGCGCUUCUAUAAAUACAUUAAUAACAAAAGGAGGGUCAAGGAAAACCUCCAUUCCUUGUUGGACUUGUGGGGGAACAUAGUUAACAGGGAUGAGGAGAAGGCUGAGGUACUUAACACCUACUUUGCCUCAGUAUUCACCAGUAGGACAGGUGGCCCUCAGGACAACUGGUCUCUGGAGCUGGUAGACAGGGACAGGAAGCCAAAUAGCCCCCCUGUAUUCCAGGAGGAAAUAGUCAGUGACUUACUGGGCCACCUAGAUCCACACAAGUCCAUGGGACCAGAUGGGAUACAUUCUAGGGUGAUGAGGGAGCUGGCAGAAGAGCUUGCCAAGCCGCUCUCCAUCAUUUACCAACAGUCCUGGCUCACUGGGGAGGUCCCAGACGAUCGGAAGUUGGCAAAUGUCACGCAAGAACUAAAUUUAACAGUUUUUAUUUUUAAACUAAGUAUAAGAAAAUAAAAGUACGUAUAAGGUAUGUAUAAGGCCCCAAUAAGGUCUGGAGCCUGAUAUUUAGUAAGGACCUUGCUUUUUGUUACAAUCUGCUCAAAUAUUGCAGAAAGAAUUUCUGAUUCGAAUAUUCCUUUCAACAAAAUUAAAACUCACACAAGUUAUCUGUUGAUACCAAAAACUGAUUUUAUUAAUUGCUAAGAGAUGCAAAGAGAAAGAGGGAAAAAUAAGAAAAGGUUGGAAAGUGCUAAGAUUAUUUCUAGAAGCAGAGAAAGGAUUCCACCAAAAACUACCUUUCUGCCAUGCUAGUGCAAAUGGGGGGGGAGAAGUAGUUUUCUGCCUUUUUUUUUCUCUGUCUCCACUGCUUUUCAAUUUUAUCUCUUUAGCUGCAGGGGGUCUAACAGCUUUAUUUCUCUGGAUUGCAGGAUGUGUGGUUUCUUUGCUCACGUUACUUGCAACGAGCCGAGGCGCAUCCCAGGCCAUACAGGGUCUCAGUUCAGCCGCAGCUUUGGGCCCUCAGAAAAUAUGGUAAGGGUAGAAGGAUAAGAUAUAACUCACACAUGUGGUAUGGCAGGUCUCAGUUCUCUCCAGGCUGGCAGAGUUCCAGUCUCCCGUGGCAGGUAGGCAGCAUACGGUGGUGGAGAAGAGAUGAGGGGAGGUGAGGAGAGACUCCUGGGGCAACCAGUUCUUUCUCCCUUUCCUCUUCCCUGAUUUUCCAAAAUUUGUCCUCAAGUUUUAUAGUGUUCAAAGUACAUGGUUUCUUGGCACGUAGCCAGUUCAGAUGUCUGAGGAGAUAUGAUAACCAUAAACAAUGGCAGGAUCAAGGAUUGGACUUGAUGAUCUUGAAGGUCUCUUCCAACCCAGUUAAUUCUAUGAUUCUAUGAUUCUAUGAUCUUUUGGCAGGAAAACUCCAGCAGGAAGCUCUGGUGAGAGCUUCUGGCAGACAGCUGACAGAAUUUUUGGUAGGAAGUUUUGUCAGGUAGAAACAAUAGCAAAACAUAAUUGUUGGUAUUUCUAUAUUAUCUGUGUGUUACACUUUGAGAAAUUAGUAUUGUUCACAUUCAAUUUCAUUUUACUAGUUUACAGAACCAUCCUGCCUUUAAUUUUAAUAAUUAGUGUAAGACAUUACAAUUAUCAAAAAUAAAACAAGAUUAAAAGCUUCUUUAUGUCUGAGAAUUUGCUUCUUUUAGAAGUAAAACCAGGAAAUCACUAUAUGAAUUUGAGUUCUAAUUAAGAAUAUCAUAAAUCCAUCUCAAAAUAAAGAAAAAUUGGCUCUUGAAUGAUUAUAUACUAUGCAAGUGUAACUGCAAGUACAAAUCAGUUAAGCAAUAUUAUCAGGUGCAAUCCCUUUCACAAGCAAGCUACUAGACAGACAAAAUACUAACAAAUUUUUCAUGUUUUAACUUGGCAAGACAGCCACCAGUCUCUGAUGUAGCUAUACACUUACUUCCCAGGACCAAAUUAAUAACAUGCACAAAAUGGACAAUUACUUGUCUGAUUUUCUGAAACAGAACAACCGUAACUGUCUCAAUAUUUCACAGAAGUAUAAGAUUCCUGUUUUCAAGUUUUAGUGAUCCCUGGUAUAAAGUUGUAAUUUUAAAUGUCCUCAUUCUUCUACACAGCAAGAGACUCCACAAAAAUAGGUAUUGAUAUCACUCUUUUUAUUUUUCAGCCAGAAAUACAUUUUCAUAGGGCAUUUCAAUAAAUAAUGGUGUUUAUUUCUUAGACAAAACCUCCAUCUUUUUGGCACGACCAUAUUCUGUUUUUCAAACUAAAGACUACACAGGAAAAGUUUAUUAAAGAGAUCAUUGUUCAAUACAUGAAAUUUACAGAGGUGCAGAUAACUUUUUAAAAUACACAUCAGUUGUAAAUAUUCUAACAAGCCAGAAAACAUUAAGCAAACCAGUAAAAUAGUCUACUGGGGUCCUCUUCACUGCCUUCAGUUACAAUUGUACAGUAAGUGGCAGAAUGAAAAGAACUCUUCAUUUUCCACAAUGCAUGCACUGACUAGUGCUUGCUACUCAUCCUGAAGAAACAAGUCUCCUAAAUUGUACUAGAAACAACUGAUCAAAUAAGAUACAUUUCAAAACAUGAUCUUAAUUUUAACUUCAAAAUAUGUAAAGUAAAAUGAAGUUGCACGCUGCCUCAGUAAUAGACUGUACCUAAAAAUGUCUAGAAAUGUUUAAUUUUUAAACAUAAGUUACUAACAUGUUUUAAAGAUAUCUAAGAAUACAUCUGUCAACACUGCAUUGGAUGUCAUAUUUGGACAAAAAAAUUCUUAUGCAACAAAUUAAGCCAGUGUAUUCAAUCUACUAAUAUUCCAAAUACUUAUCCCAAACUCAUUUUAUAAAAAAGAGGAGGUAAAACAAUUACUUCCAUACAGAAACAAAAAAUAAUGUAAUAGCUUUGAAGUAGCAAAUAAACAAAGGUUUAUUUUAUGAGUUAAUUUCCUUGUCACCACCAAUGCAGACCCAGUUUCCAAAUGUUUGAAUAGAAUGUUUUAAAAUAACAGGUGAUCCAAUUUAGCCAAGCUCACAUUCAUUCCCAUGAUGUCAUACAUACAUUUUAUUGUAGAAUACAUUAAGAAACAAAAAGAUAGCUUGAGUACUUAUGCAAGAGCAAUUUCUAACAUCAAGCCAAAAUUAGCAACAACCAAGUAGACCUUCAAUUUUUCAGUAUUAAAUUACCAUUAAUACUAGAUAACUGUAAAAAAAAAAAAAAACCACAAAAAACAAACCCAAACCCAAAAAACAAAAGCCUUUUCUUUGUUAAAAGAUGUUCAAAGAAAUAUCCACUAGCUACAGCCAAAUUUGUAUUAGAAGCUGCUUGCUCUGGAAAGAUUUUUCCCUCCAUUUAUAACACAAUGUAUUGUCAAAAUCCUAUUCAAAUUAAUUACUUUCUGAUAACAUUUAGGUUAUAUCACCUACAAUGUGGACAGUCAUGUACAGUAUGACAGUAUAUUUUUGCAGCAGAGAAAUAAACAAACUGGUUCUAAAUUCUAGAUUAUACUUCAUAGUUCAUGUAUUGUUUCUUGCAAACAUACGGUCGGUCCCCUCUAAGGGUAAGGUGUUGAAGCUGGUAUUGUAGCAUGUCUGUGUCAGCAGGUUCCUCAAUGCUCAUUUUGUCUAAAUUGAGGUAGUCCAGGGAUUUAGAAUGAGCCUUUUUGCCUUUUAAAAGGCAAAGAGGCAGGGGACCAUGAAGUGCCUUGUAAGGUUCAUAUGGUAAAGCCUUAGUGCAUUUAUCCCCCGAGCUGGGCAUCCGUCUCCUCCUCCUCCCCUUUAUUGCUGGGAUCUCGUAUGGUUGAUAGCAUCUACUUCUAGUUUUGUAUAAACGGGAGGAGCAUGCAAGUCCUAAAUCGAGCUGUUUAGAGUGCAAGUUGGGCCCAGAUUUCCCUUUAUUAUCUUCAUUUCCUGUAUACUUUUGAGCUAAUUUUAGCAGCUCCUCUCCAGUCGUGAAUCCAAUCAGGUAGUUAGAAUCCAUACGAAGGAUCCGAUAGCCUGAAAUUGUCUGUCGCAUUGGUGAGCAGGGGGUGCUGGAACAUCGUGGCUUCUCUGCUUCUGUUUUGCCUGCAGAACUGAUCUCUGCAAAAGGUACAGGGAGGGUAGAUAGGGUAGUUCUGGACUUUCCAUUUAUGUCCAUUUUAAGCAAUGUGCUAUUCUCCUAAAAACAAAACAGAGAUUGGUCACAAAUAGAGUCCUUAACCAUUAAAGGAGCUGAGAGAGAAUCUCAGAAAUUAAACAUCACCCAGAAACCAUAAUCAGUACUUCUCUAUUCUGUCUUGCACUCUACAGAGUGUCUCAUAACAAAACCAUCAGAUAUCUGGCCUUUUAAAAUUAUUUUGGUCCCCUUUUUAAUAACAAAUACUAUAAAUAUACUUGAUAUUCUUAAAUAUGCCAAAAACAUAUUCUUGAGUAGCACUGUACAAAAAAAUUAGGUACCUUUCCACUCUAUUUUUUAAUCCUUUUAGUCUAUUUGAUCCUUUAUAACCCCUUUUCUUUGAGGCCAUCUACAUUAAUUAGCAUAUCCAUAGUAACUGCUGCUGUACUCAACUGCAUAUUUUUUCCAAAGUUUCCCUGGGGUGGGUUGACCUUGGCUGACUGUCAGGUGCCCACCACGCUGCUCUAUCCCUCCACCUCCUCAACUAGAAAGGGGGAGAAAAUACAAGAAAAGUCUUGUGGGUCAUGAUAAGAACAGGGGAGAUCACUCAGGAAUUACUGUCACAGGCAAAAUAACUUGGGGAAAUUAAAUUAAUUUAUUGCCAACCAAAUCAGAGUAGGAUAAUGAGAAAUAAGAACAAAUCUAAAAACUCCUUCCCCCCACCCCUUUCCUCUUCUCAGGUUCAACUUCACUCCCAAAUUAUCUACCUCCUCCCUCCCAAAGGGCAUAGAGCAAUGGGGAAUAGAGGUUGCGAUCAGUUCAUAAUGCAUUGCCUCUGCUGUUACUUCCUCCUCGUGUUCUUCCCCUGCUCCAGUGGGGUGUACCACCCACGGGAUACAGUUCUUCACAUUCUCCAACGUGGGUCCUUCACUGGGCCACAGCUCCUGCCAGCAAACCUGCUCCAGUGUGGGCUCCUCUCCAGGGGCCUGUUCCAUCAUGUGCUCUCCAUGGGCUGCAAAUUCCUUUAGGGCACAUCCACCUGCUCUGGCAAGGGGUAACCCAUGUGCUGCAGGGUGGUUAUCUGUUCCACCAUGGACAUCCAUGGGCUGCAAAACCACUGCAGCCUGACUUUGAGAAUGACUGCUGUGUGAGAGAAUGCAUGUAGCUUGUUCAGAUGAUUGACAGUCAUAUGAAAGACUGCUAGCUGACAGGGAAGAGUUUGCAUGUGGCCAAUGGCCCAGGCACACUUGGAUUAAAUAUCUAUCACCACUAAUAUGUACUUAACACCAUCAUUGUUUUUGAAAAACUAUUGUAUAGCUACCAAGUCUGCUUGCCAUUGUGCAUCCACCUCUGCCACAAUCAUCUUUCUUCUUUUUAAGUGCUUUCUUGCUUCCUAGUAGAAGCUGCAAGUGUCCUGGCUUGCAAGCCAGGUUGCCACUUGUUUUCUGUUCAGAUCAGCCAUUUGCCUUUUAGCAGCUUCAAAAAGGGGAUUUGUACCCCCAAAGCUUCAUAGAAUCAUAGAAUAUCCUGAGUUGGAAGGGACCCACAAAGAUCAUUAAAGUCCAACUCCUGGCCCUGCACAGGACACCCCAAGAGUCACACCACGGGCCUGAGAGCGUUGUCCAAACACUUCUUCAACUCCGUCAGGCUUGGUGCUGUGACCACUUCUCUGGGGGAACCUGUUCCAGUGCCCAACCAACCUCUGGGUGAAGAACCUUUUCCUAAUAUCCAACCUAAACCUCCCCUGACACAGCUUCAUGCCAUUCCCUCAGGUCCUGUCACUGGUCACCAGACAGAAGAGAUCAGUGCCUGCUCCUCUGCUCCCCCUCACGAGGAAGUUGUAGACUGCGAUGAGGUCUCCCCACCUUAUAGGUGGAGAGACAGUACAUCUCCCCAGAAGACAGUAAAUCUCUUUUAACAGAAGUGGCUUUGCAGAUGUGUACUGACAUGCUGCACACACACAUAUGAAAGGAAACCCUGAACAAUCAAUUUAACUCAAGUACAAAGAAACUUUGUUAACAAGGUAUGAGGAGAGUUCCUAGAAUCAUAGAAUCAGCCAGGUUGGAAAGGACCUCUGAGAUCAUCAGGUCCAACCCUUGAUCCACUACCACUGCGGUUACUAGACUAUGGCACUAAGUGCCACAUCCAGUCUCAAAACCUUCAGGGACAGAGAAUCCACCACUUCCCUGGGCAGCCCAUUCCAAUGCCUGAUUACCCUCUCUGUAAAGAAUUUCUUCCUAAUAUCUAACCUAAACCUCCCCUGGCAGGUUUAGUUGGUUGCUAUUCAAGUGUUCUCCAGGAAUUUUUUCUCCCCUGCUCUCCAAACAUUGCCAUCUCUUCUAUGCCCUUUGUUGUUUCUUCAGCUGCUAUAGGCCCAGACAAAAAACACAGAUAGAUAAUACUACAAUUUGACUUCUCCCUCUCCAGUCAGUUGGAGCCGUUUUGUAUGUUCUAAGGAUAGCAUCAAUCUUGGGACAAGGAAAGACAUAUAGCACCAGCCUGCGCCCCAUAACUGUCUCACAGGUAGCUGCAAGAUCCUCCCAACCAUGGGCAAAGGUAGCUCUCCCAACACCAUCACCCACCCUCUGUGAUACUUGCUUCAAAACCUAGUUUGUGAUUCAUGGGCCCAUUGGCCAGUUGUUCUGGUUUGCACAGUCUUUUUAAUGAAUCCCUUAUGCUCUUUUCCUUACUGUCCCCAUGCACAUGUUCUUCUAAAGUUCACAUUUUGUUCUGGCUAGUCGUUUCAAUGAACAAUGACUGUGCCUUACAGGAUCACACAAAGCCCAAAGUUUGCCCCAGUAACACUGCAUAACCAUCAUCCUGGUGGGCUGAGCCCAAAUGCAGAAGCAUCUCAAUCCAGCUCAAAGGACUGAUCUCUUCUUGGCACAUGACAAGGGUCCCUUGAUGAGAAUAUGUGGGUACUGGUGAAUAACAGGAGCAAAGUUCCAAAUUUCAAGAUAAAGAACAAAGUGGUUAAACAAUGGAAGUAAUAACCAAUAACUACAGGAAUAUAGCAAAUUGUAAAUUAAGACAGAAAUCUAAGUCUUUGAUGGGGAAAAACAAAUAGAUAACACCUUCUUUUAUUCAGGCUGUUGUAAGCAGAGCCAACCCCCCCAUUUUGAUCAGUUCUGUGGUGAGAACUUGCCCUAGUGAUGAACUUUGCUCAUUAUAAUAUUAUAACAGUAAAAACCACACCCCUAGCUCGGAUGCCCCCUGCCCACAGAAAGACCACCACUCACCAAGUAUGCACCAUGAUUUCUUGUAACUCUGUGUCUUUAAAUCGAAAUGAAGAAAGGGUGAGCCAAUAGCAACCUAGCCAAGUAGUGACUUAUGCAAGAUAUGCUGAAUGCCUAAGAUUGUAACCAUGUAAGUCUGCCUACUUUUUCUUUAAAAAAAUAAAUGCUAAUAUAGCAAUAAAGUCUUCACAGCUUUUCUGUUGGUAGUAAAUUAUGUUGUCAUGCCUAAAAAUAAAGAUCUGCAGAGAUUAAACAAAAACUAUAUUAUACUCAGUCUUUUUCCAGGGACAGCUAUUCAAAGACAGACACUACUUUUAAAUGGGAUCUACUCUUGAAGUUAUUAAAAAAAAAAUACCACGUUUAAUCAACACAGUUUAGUUUGGGGGUUUUGGGGGAUGGUUUUUUGAGUGGGUUUGUGUGUCCCCCAACUGAAGCACUUGAAAUAACUAGUUCUUUGUCUUAAUGUGACUGUGGUGGGUUAACCUCGGCUGGACAACAGGCGCCCACCAAGCUGCUCUAUCAUAUCCUCUCCUUAACUGGACAGAGGGGAGAAAAUAUGAUGAAUGGCCCAUGGGUUGAGAUAAGGGAGAUGACUCAGCAAGUACUGUCACGGGCAAAACAGACUUGACCUGGGGAAAUUAAGUAAAUUUAUUGCCAAUCAAACAUCAGAGUAGGAUAAUGACAAAUAAAACCAAGUCUUAAAAUAACUUCCCCCCACCUCUCUCUUCUUUCUGGGCUCAAAUUCACUCUUAUCUUCUCUACCUCCUCCCACUAAAGAGUACAAGGGAACGGGGAAUGGGAUUUGCAGUCAGUGCAUCAUAUACUGUCUUUGCUGCUCCUUUCUCUGCACACUCUUCCCCUGCUCCAGCCUGGGGUCCCACCCACAGGAGACAGUCCUCCAUGAAUUGCUCCAGCAUGGGUCCUUUCCACAGGGUCACAAGUCCUGCCAGGAACCUGCUCCAGCACAGGCACUCCACAGUCACAGUCUCCUUUGGCCACACCUAUAUGCUCCACCAUGGACCUCCAUGGGCUGCAGGGGGACAGCCUACCUCAACGUGGUCUUCACCACAGGCUGCAGGGGAAUCUGGUCCAGCACCUGGAGUACCUCCUCCUCCUUCUUCACUGACCUUGGUGUCUGCAGAGUUGUUUCUCUGACAUAUUCUCACUCCUCUCUUCCAGCUGCUAUUGCACAGCAGUUUUUUCCCCUUCUUAAAUAUGUUGUCACAGAGGCACUACCACCAUUGCUGAUUGACUCAGCUUUGGCUAGCAGUGGGUUCAUCUUGGAGGUGGCUGGCACCAGCUCUAUUGGACAUCCGAGAAGCUUCUGGUAUCUUCUCACAGAAGCCACUGUUGUAGCCCCUCCACUACCAAAAUUUUGCCAUGCAAACCCAAUACAGCAACAUUAUCUGCAGCAGGUACUGUUUCUUGGCAAGGUGCAUCUCAUUUCAUUUACACCAUUUACACUUCAGAAGAUCCCUUCCUGAAGCUUAUUAAAACUAUGUAAUAAAAUGACCUUUCAAGUUUUACUCUCUGCCUCUUUCUCAAAUGUCCCUCCCAAAUCUUAAGUUCUACCUAAAAGUUAAUGUUCAUUUACAUGCAAUGCCAGUAUGGGACCAACAUUAAUAGAAGUCCAACAGCUCACUCAAAUCUAAGAAAUAUGAUUUACACUUAUAAAUAAUGACAAGAGAAAACAGAGUAAGAGUCAUUUGGAUUGAAAGGGACCUUCAAAGAUCAUCCCCUGCCAUGGGAAGAAACAUCUUUCGCUAGAUCAGGUUGUUCAGAGCCCCAUCCAACCUGACCUUGAACACUUCCAAUUACUGGACAAACAGUUCAUGUGAUUUCACUAUAAUAUAGUGCAUUUGCACCUGAUUAUGCAAGUCUGAUGGCAAAACAGGCAAGAUAUGGCUGUCUACUUUCCUGAAUUUCAGAGUCACUGCAAGCACUACUCCCUCCUCCAACCUCCUAACCACUCUCUCAAAAACAACAAAACAAGAAAGACCCCAAAACAACAACAUACCACAUAAGCCAGAAUGUGUUUCUAAAUACACCACCAGCAGAAAGAUUAAGUUGUGUGGUAGAAAGAGAAGUUUUCAAUAAAGGAAACAAAGAAUGGAAAAGGAGGGGGAAAUCAGUGCUGCACAUUUCUACUUCUUAUGUCUCUUUAUGGGAAUGUUUCAAGGAAUUCUAUUCUAUUCAGAGCUAUGUCAGUGUCGUGGUUUUGCUCUGGGUCAAUUUGCUCUCACACCCCACACACAAUUACUAUAAGUUGAGAGAAGGUUUAUGCAGACAAAAGAGACUUGAUUAGGGAAAAUAAUAUGAACAUUUAUUACUAGCAAAAUAAAAACUAAAGAACUACAUCUACAAUAAUUCUACUCAAGUAAAAGUACUAUGUAUUUACAGAAAUACUUCUCCCCCCUUUAUAUCAGUCCAAGGAGGAGAAGCAGUCUCUUUCUCCAUUCUCGGAGUUCCAGGUCUUUUCAAUAACUCUGCAGCACUGUAAAGUUCUUCUGUUAUCUCAGGACGACAACUCCUUUUCGUCGCAGCUGGAACUCUUUCUCUUUCUCUCUCUUUUCUAUGUCGGCCUCCAGGGCUGGGCCUACCCCUCUCCUGGGCUAAGACCGGAGGCUGGGGGGUUACUCAGGCCCUGAAGGGUCUUCCAUGGGCUUGCAAGGGGACACUUGCUUACCAUGGAUCUUCACCACAGGGUCACAGGGGAUAAUGGCUUAUGAGUCCACCCCUGUUUCCUGUGAGGUUCCUCCCCAUGGGAGAAAAGUCUUUGAUAGACCUCUCUGACAUGGGUCUAGCACGGAUCCCUCACUUGGAUCCCAAGCUUACCCAAGCUGUUCUCACUCCAGCGUAAGCUUCUUUCUCAGGGUCAUAAAUCUUCAGCAGCAGCAUGGAUCCCAUACACGGAUCCCCACAUCUCACCCGGGCCGUACUCACUCUGGCAUAGGUCUCGUUUCUCUCAUGGUCACAAAUUUCCAGCACCAGCAGCAUGGAUCUCUCACUGAGAUCCCAAGUUUACCCGAGCCGUUCUUGCUCCGGCGUAAGUCUCGUCCCUCUCAGGGUCAUAAAUCUUCAACAGGACUCUGCCUCAUUUCAGUCCUUCUCAUGAAGUCUCAGCUUCCUUGUACAUCCACAAGCUCCUUUGUGAGCCGCAUGGGGGUCUCCUCACCCCAACAAUCUUCCAAAGGUAGAAGGGAUUUAUUUUUCAGUCUUUUCCCAGCUGAAGGGAGAGAGCGAAAGGAGGGAGAAACAGCCCCCCCUUCAAACUUUUCUCUCUCUUCCGGAUGCCAGCUUCGACUUUGGACACUUCGUUAUCUCUCUGUCGGAAUUCUUCUGCAGCGGUUUUCAUCCAAGUAGUCAGUCCUCUAAAGUUUUUUUUUCUUUACUCUCUUACAAGAGAGAAGGGGGGCUUCAGUGCUACACCUGCCCCCGGCCCAGGGUCGGGGCAGGAGGGGGCCUGGCUGUAGGAGAAUUAGGAACCUUUUGGGUUGAGGCAGGAGUGGACCAGUUGAUGGGAAUCUGAGGAACUUCAAGGACUAAGUGUUUUGAGAACAUGACAAGUGUUUUGAGAACUGGACAUCUGGAAGAAGGAAGAAAAACAGCACCUGCAAUGGGAGGAUGAGUUGGACCCUGCCAGGAGGCAUGGGAAUAGAAGUGUUGUGGUUAGAUUUAGAAGGAAAAGAAUUUAGAAAAUAAGAUAUGUUAGCUAGCCAAUAAUAAUCGUGUGAACAGUGUAUGUUUUGUAUGUGUGACCAAUAAUAGGUUAAGUAGUCAAAUAUGUAGUAGUUAUUGAAUUGUAUAAAAGUGUAAUUUCCAAUAAAGAUGGAGCUUCCAAACAUCA